AAUAGAUACCCGGGUAGUCCAUGCCGUAAACGUUGGGCACUAGGUGUGGGGGGCAUUCCACGUUCUCCGCGCCGUAGCUAACGCAUUAAGUGCCCCGCCUGGGGAGUACGGCCGCAAGGCUAAAACUCAAAGGAAUUGACGGGGGCCCGCACAAGCGGCGGAGCAUGCGGAUUAAUUCGAUGCAACGCGAAGAACCUUACCAAGGCUUGACAUACACCGGACACGCCUGGAAACAGGUGCUCCUCUUUUGGGGCUGGUGUACAGGUGGUGCAUGGUUGUCGUCAGCUCGUGUCGUGAGAUGUUGGGUUAAGUCCCGCAACGAGCGCAACCCUCGUUCUAUGUUGCCAGCACGUGAUGGUGGGAACUCAUAGGAGACUGCCGGGGUCAGCUCGGAGGAAGGUGGGGAUGACGUCAAAUCAUCAUGCCCUUUAUGUCUUGGGCUUCACGCAUGCUACAAUGGCUGGUACAAAGAGUGGCGAACCUGUGAGGUGAGCGAAUCCCUUAAAGCCAGUCUCAGUUCGGAUCGU
RNAcentral lists this ribosomal RNA (527 nucleotides) under uncultured bacterium. Its description in RNAcentral is "bacterial SSU rRNA". It matches the Rfam family "Bacterial small subunit ribosomal RNA", at positions 777 to 1301 of the family's 1533-position model. The record is from RNAcentral.